CCUGCCCAUUGAAUAAAAUUUAAAAGGCCGCGGUAUAUUAACUGUGCAAAGGUAGCAUAAUCAUUAGCUUUUUAAUUGAAGGCUUGUAUGAAGGGUUUGACAAAGAAAUAACUGUCUUUAUUUUUAUUUUUGAAAUUAACUUUUAAGUGAAAAGGCUUAAAURAAUUUAAGGGACGAUAAGACCCUAUAAAUCUUUAUAUUAAUUUGAUUUUCUUGUUUAUUAAUAUAAUUUGUUUAAAUUUAAUAAGUAAAAUAAAAAAUAUUUUGUUGGGGUGAUGAGAAUAUAAAUUUAACUGUUCUUAUAUAAAACAAAGUUGUUUGUUAAAGGUUAAUAGAUCCUUUUUAGAGAUUGAAAGUUUAAGUUACUUUAGGGAUAACAGCGUUAUUUUUUUUGAGAGUUCUUAUCGAAAAAAAAGUUUGCGACCUCGAUGUUGAAUUAAAAUUUCCCUAUGGUGUAGAGGUUGUAGGAGGAAAGUCUGUUCCACUUUU
Molecule: ribosomal RNA, 489 nt
Filed under: Plesionida aurelia
Lineage: Eukaryota; Metazoa; Arthropoda; Malacostraca; Decapoda; Munididae
Description: partial large subunit ribosomal RNA
Source: RNAcentral